AAGCUAAUCUCAAACUAGGACCGAGUCUUGCUUGCGACCGCCGUACGGAUUGUGUACGUUCAGCUUGCUACGAAAGCCCGUAUCACCGCGUGCCCACGCAUUGCGCACCCUUAGACGGGAAUCCAAGCCUUAUUGUCAAUCUUUACUGACGAUUAUGGCCUACUACUGCAAUUCAGGUUUCUAAAUAGCGGACUCCUACUCGGGCGCAUCCUAAUCGAUCAACCACACCAUUUCCGCGUGGUUCCGCUGCUAGGAAUCGACCAGGCUCUCCUACUAGUCGGUGUGACCCUGACUCUGUGCCGGGUCUGAGAUGCCCUCCGUCGUCACCCCUUAUAACCUGUUACCCCCGUUGGGACUAGGUCGGUACGGCGCACUCACUACUGCCGGAAUCCCAACAUUUCGAGAAAAGAGGCCCUGCUAUUACUGGCAUGGCCCUCUUAUUCGAGGCCGAUUGAGGCACGGUCGUCGGCGCCAUUAUGCCUCCCUCGAUCGCAACAAGCCUUAAUGACCCGCAUUUCGCGUGCAUCCGCCGAAACAUUCAGUCUCCACUUUCGGACCUCGAGUUGAGGUCUUGACGGAAACUCUGACGUAGCGAACUUAGGCCCUCUCCACUCACCUUAAGGCUCACAUCUCCACUUUAAGCAUCUAUAAGCCUUCUUGUGGUCACCGCUUCCGCCGAGUGACCUGGCCAUAACUGCGACUCCACGCUUUCGCACCCCUCGUUUGUCCUAAUCUAUGGGACCAUCAGUUAGUGAUCACUUAAGCGCCGGCGGACGUCCAGCUGGUAUACCCUCUC
Molecule: ribosomal RNA, 796 nt
Filed under: uncultured bacterium
Lineage: Bacteria
Description: partial 16S ribosomal RNA
Source: RNAcentral